Molecule: long non-coding RNA, 2994 nt
Organism: Triticum urartu
Lineage: Eukaryota; Viridiplantae; Streptophyta; Magnoliopsida; Poales; Poaceae
Source: RefSeq, a predicted model, not a curated record
AAUCCGAUAACGAAUCGCACGAGCGAGGCCUUCUGCCCUCGAGCGAGCAGUCGCACGCACCAGUCGCACACCAGAUCCCUUCGCCGCCGCCCUCCAUCCUUCGCCAUCGCAGAUCCAUCCCGCCGCCGCCGCUCCAUCCCUCUCUUCCCUCCAAGCUUGUCGCCGGCGGCGAAGCGUACGGCGCUCCAUCCCUUCGCCUGCAGGAACCUAUCACGCGCGCCGAGGCGAGGGCCUCGUGGACUCCGUCCGACGCCGCUUGGCCGACGACCCUGCCGCCGGGCAGGAGGAGUGUUCCACGCCGUGAGGAACCCGCCACGCGCGUCAAGGCGAGGCGCCUCCUGGGCUCCGUCCGUUUCCAGAGCGAGCGCCCGCGAAUACCUAGCUAGCCGCCGCCGUCGUGACCGUUCCAGCCACCGCCAAGGUAAGCUAGAUCAAACUCGGCACAGAUGCACAUGCACCGCGCGCCUCACUGAUGUGAGGAUCCAUUUCCUCAAUCCCCUCUUAAUCUCCAACAUCUCCCCCUUCCAGUGUUGGCGUACUUGACCGGAAGUGAGUGCGCGGCAGAGCAAAGCUCAGCCUGGGUCUUCAUCAAUGCAAGACGGGGCAGGAGGGAGCGGGAAGUUUUUCAGCCACAUGAAUGUGGAAGGCGCUUGACAAAUCAGAGAUGUAUGAAGCUUCUGCCGAGAUGUUUGAGAGGGGCAGCAUAGACAUAAGAGGGGUUCAAUAUUGUUAACUCACAUCAUCCAGACCAGUCAUGGUUGUCCUUGACUAUAGUGUACUUAGGAGGAGGAGAUGAACAUGAAGAAUGAGUUCGUAAUGUGGUUGUCGUUGAUUAAUGGCACCCCCAGCAGCGGUGAUAAUGACCAUGGGGAGGAGAGCACGAACAUCAACAACCUCUUGGCCUUGUUGGCUUCUCCGACAUCAAUAACGACGACUAGCUCGCCAUACAGUUGCUAGAGUGCUAAAGAAUGGUCGAGAAGAACAAUGGAUUGUUGAUGGAGCCAAUCAACAAGGACGAUAAGGACGGCCACAACAGUGAGAAUAAGAAGGGGGAGCUCAUCGCCGUCGGCCGCCAGCUCUGCAGGGAGAAGAAGAACGACAAUGCGUUAAUUAUAAAGAAGUCAACAAUGCCACCUGGUGUGCAAAGGGUCCUAAGGUAUAUGUUAUCCACCAUUGGUAUUGACCCAUUAGAAUAUGUAAGUCCCCGAUGCAACAUACGGGCAAUUUAUAUACAUCGUAGCCCAUAGCAACGUUGCCUGCACCAUUGGAGUUGUAUAUAUUAGAAUUGAGUUAUGAUGGCAUAAUUUUUUCCGUCACAAGUUAAAUGAGCAUUGUGUAAAAGUCUAACUAAGUUUUCUUUCACAUUCUUCUAUAAAUUGGAAGUCCAAUAUAGAUUUCUCAAUGUAUCAUUUUGGGAUUAUUUGACCAUCGGACAAUAUUGCCAUGCUGACCAUUUCUCUUGUCUUUGCAAUAUCUAUAGGAUCUAAUGUAAAAGUAUAAUGUGCUUCACAGAUUUUUUAUUUCUUUUGAUUUUGCCUUGCUUGUUAUUUAUGCUUAUAGCUUUAUAUGUGAGAUUCUAUUUGGUGACACCUUUUUCAAUUGUUAGUUGAGGUGCUUCUGAGUUUAUCAAUCAGGUGAGGCAUGUGGUGCCCUUUCGGAAUGUCGUUUUCUUCUUCCUUGCAUCUCAAAUGCAAGCAACCAUGCUUCUACCGAGGCUUAGAAGAAACGAAGAUGCUGUUGUCAAGAAUUUCACCCCACCCAUUGCAUUGGAUAUCACCUCUGGCUGCAGCAAUAGUGUGUCAAUCUAGCUCACGUGAAUUGAGCUACGCAAUGUCCUAUUAUUACUCUGUUACUCAAAGAGUUGGUAUCCCUAAAUAGUAAGAACAGAGAAGAUUCUUAGUGAGUUAUUACACGUAUUUUAUUCUGAUCUCCUAUAAAAAUCUUUUGUGGUUUAGGCACAACCCAUAUUAUGGUUCUUUUAUACCAAUUAAGUUCACUAUUCGACGAAAUUCCUUUUCACUAAAAUAAGAACCACGUAAUGCUUACAAUUGAUCUGGUCAGCUAGAUAACUAAAUGAGUUAAAAUUAUGCGUACUAACUUUUGACAUAUGUAAUGUGGGGUAGAAGACCAGUGUCUCUUGCUAGGGAUUUCUGGAGGCAACAUCCCUCUGAUUGUAUGCACUUAACUAUUUUGCUUCUGGCUUCCUGCUAUUGUAUUUUACAUUGUCUGCAGAUGCAAAUUCUUUUACGACUAAUCAGUCUCGGAUAAUACUUCAACCCAGACAUCAACGGAGCAAAGAACUUGAUUAAAAGGUUCAAGGAGCUCCGACGCUUUCUAUGACCAAAGAAUUCAUUCAAGCCAGAUUUUCUUUCAAGAUAACAAUAAUGCCUAGGAGCAUCCCUAUCCAUUGAACAAUACCGGAGAGAUAGAGCGCUACUGCCUUACACUUUUCAAUAUCCCUAGCUUUAUUUUCAUUAUUGUGAUAAUUGUGGUAUUUAAAAAUUUAGAAUGCCUUGUGCGAUUAUCUGUGGAUUUUGCAACCCAUGUAAUCUCCUAUUAGACUGGAUAUGAUCAAAAUAAUUCAGCUUUUCAUCAUUGGUUGUCAUCAAGUAGAGCUUAUUUUGUGGAUGGAUGCAUUGGUUUAUGUUUCCAGGCUUUUAGUUUUUCCCUUAUAAUAUUCAGUUGAUUCCCGUGAGGGGUGGCGACCCAUGCUGGACGUGUGAUGAGGGGAGUGUUGUUGAUGCGGUAUGGGAGAUGUCUCGUGGAGAGAGGGGAGGGUGAAAAAGUGAUGGAUCGCAAAUGUUUGGAUGUGCUCGAUCUAACAAUUGACCUGGCGGACAGAUAUCAAGGGUGAUGUUGAGGCCGGCGGCAAAAUAAAUGGCCAAAUGGGGCUCCUCAAUGCAAGUGAGAAGGCUGAUUGAUUCCCGUGGAGCAAUGCAAUGUUGCAUCACAAUGUAUUGGGUUCCAUUUUUGGGCAGAGAAGAAGUGAUUAAG